RNAcentral lists this ribosomal RNA (380 nucleotides) under uncultured eukaryote. RNAcentral's name for it is "partial 18S ribosomal RNA". It matches the Rfam family "Eukaryotic small subunit ribosomal RNA", at positions 592 to 976 of the family's 1831-position model. The record is from RNAcentral.
CAAUAGCGUAUAUUUAAGUUGUUGCAGUUAAAAAGCUCGUAGUUGGAUUUCUGCUGAGAACGACCGGUCCGCCCUUUGGGUGUGUAUCUGGCUCUUUCUUGGCAUCUUCUUGGUGAACGUUGCUGCACUUGACUGUGUGGAGCGCUACCCAGGACUUUUACUUUGAGGAAAUUAGAGUGUUUCAAGCAGGCAUACGCCUUGAAUACAUUAGCAUGGAAUAAUAAGAUAGGACCUCGGUUCUAUUUUGUUGGUUUCUAGAGCUGAGGUAAUGAUUAAUAGGGAUAGUUGGGGGCAUUCGUAUUUAACUGUCAGAGGUGAAAUUCUUGGAUUAGUUAAAGACGGACUACUGCGAAAGCAUUUGCCAAGGAUGUUUUCAUUGA